GAUGAAGAACGUAGCGAAAUGCGAUAAGUAAUGUGAAUUGCAGAAUUCAGUGAAUCAUCGAAUCUUUGAACGCACAUUGCGCCCGUUAGCAUUCUAGCGGGCAUGCCUGUCCGAGCGUCAUUUCAACCCUCAGGGUCCCCGUUCAGGCGGGGAACCUGGUGUUGGGGAUCGGCCCGCCCCGCGCGGCGCCGUCCCCCAAAUUCAGUGGCGGUCUCGCUGCAGCCUCCCCUGCGUAGUAGUUACAACCUCGCAUCGGAGCUCAGCGCGGCCACGCCGUAAAACCCCCGACUUUCUGAACGUUGACCUCGGAUCAGGUAGGAAUACCCGCUGAACUUAAGCAUAUCAAUAAGCGGAGGA
RNAcentral lists this unclassified non-coding RNA (357 nucleotides) under soil metagenome. RNAcentral describes it as "partial contains 5.8S ribosomal RNA, internal transcribed spacer 2, and large subunit ribosomal RNA". The stretch from base 1 to 120 matches the Rfam family "5.8S ribosomal RNA", at positions 35 to 154 of the family's 154-position model. The record is from RNAcentral.